This 568-nucleotide ribosomal RNA is filed under the name Dacrymycetes sp. NBRC 110590. RNAcentral describes it as "eukaryotic LSU rRNA". It matches the Rfam family "Eukaryotic large subunit ribosomal RNA", at positions 49 to 661 of the family's 3401-position model. Lineage: Eukaryota; Fungi; Basidiomycota; Dacrymycetes. The record is from RNAcentral.
AGCGGAGGAAAAGAAACUAACAAGGAUUCCCCUAGUAACUGCGAGUGAAGCGGGAAAAGCUCAAAUUUAAAAUCCUUCGGGAGUUGUAAUCUAGAGAAGCGUUUUCGGUCGUUGCCUCGGACAAGUCCCUUGGAACAGGGCGUCAUAGAGGGUGAGAAUCCCGUCCUUGCCGAGCUACCAACGUCUAUGUGAUGCGCUCUCGAAGAGUCGAGUUGUUUGGGAAUGCAGCUCAAAACGGGUGGUAAACUCCAUCUAAAGCUAAAUAUUGGCGAGAGACCGAUAGCGAACAAGUACCGUGAGGGAAAGAUGAAAAGCACUUUGGAAAGAGAGUUAAACAGUACGUGAAAUUGCUGAAAGGGAAGCGCUUGAAGUCAGUCGCGUGUAUGAGACUCAGCCUCACGGUGCAUUUCUCUUACACGGGUCAACAUCAGUUUCGACCGCGGGAAAAGGGCUUGAGGAAUGUGGCAGCCUCGGCUGUGUUAUAGCCUCUUGUCGUACACCGCGGUUGGGACUGAGGACCGCUUAUAGGAUGUUGACGUAAUGGCUUUAAGCGACCCGUCUUGAAACA